CCCUUAGAUUUUCUGGGCUGCACGCGCGCUACACUGAUGCGAUCAACAAGUUUUUCCUAUGUCGAUAGACACGGGUAAUCUUUUGAACUCGCAUCGUGAUGGGGAUAGAUUAUUGUAAUUAUUAAUCUUCAACGAGGAAUUCCUAGUAGGUGCAAAUCAUCAGUUUGCAUCGAUUACGUCCCUGCCCUUUGUACACACCGCCCGUCGCUGCUACCGAUUGGUUGAUCUGGUGAAUUAUUCGGACUGCCGGCUGAAGGGGUUUCCUCAUCUGCCAGCGGAAAGUCUUGUUAACCCUAUCAACUAGAGGAAGCAGAAGUCGUAACA
RNAcentral lists this ribosomal RNA (324 nucleotides) under uncultured eukaryote. RNAcentral's name for it is "partial 18S ribosomal RNA". It matches the Rfam family "Eukaryotic small subunit ribosomal RNA", at positions 1470 to 1796 of the family's 1831-position model. The record is from RNAcentral.